CUUCGGAUUGUAAACUUCUUUUGUUGGGGAGUGAAAUGCCCUGGUGAAGUAGCCAGGGGUGACAGUACCCGAUGAAUAAGCCACGGCUAACUACGUGC
RNAcentral lists this ribosomal RNA (98 nucleotides) under uncultured bacterium. RNAcentral describes it as "partial 16S ribosomal RNA". The record is from RNAcentral.